RNAcentral lists this transfer RNA (77 nucleotides) under Candidatus Kaiserbacteria bacterium RIFCSPHIGHO2_02_FULL_49_11. RNAcentral's name for it is "tRNA-Ile". It matches the Rfam family "tRNA". Rfam says of the family: Transfer RNA (tRNA) molecules are approximately 80 nucleotides in length. Their secondary structure includes four short double-helical elements and three loops (D, anti-codon, and T loops). The record is from RNAcentral. Lineage: Bacteria; Candidatus Kaiseribacteriota.
CCGCCCCUAGCUCAAUUGGUUAGAGCACGCGUCUUAUACACGCGCGGUUCCUGGUUCGAGUCCAGGGGGGCGGACAA